This 301-nucleotide ribosomal RNA is filed under the name uncultured bacterium. RNAcentral's name for it is "partial 16S ribosomal RNA". It matches the Rfam family "Bacterial small subunit ribosomal RNA", at positions 509 to 810 of the family's 1533-position model. The record is from RNAcentral.
CAGCCGCCGCGGGAAUACGUAGGGUGCAAGCGUUAAUCGGAAUUACUGGGCGUAAGGCGUGCGCAGGCGGUUUGUUAAGACAGAUGUGAAAUCCCCGGGCUCAACCUGGGAACUGCAUUUGUGACUGGCAAGCUAGAGUGUGGCAGAGGGGGUGGAAUUCCGCGUGUAGCAGUGAAAUGCGUAGAUAUGCGGAGGAACACCGAUGGCGAAGGCAAUCCCCUGGGCCUGCACUGACGCUCAUGCACGAAAGCGUGGGGAGCAAACAGGAUUAGAUACCCCAGUAGUCCCUGUCUCUUAUCCC